Molecule: unclassified non-coding RNA, 375 nt
Filed under: rhizosphere metagenome
Description: partial ribosomal RNA internal transcribed spacer region
Source: RNAcentral
GUAGGUGAACCUGCGGAAGGAUCAUUAACAAAAUCUACAACACUAACCAUGUUGAACUGUUGGGCAAGCGGAGGGGGGGUAGAGAGUCAAAGGACAGCAAGAGGACGACCCCCAAGGAUCAUCGAUCUUCUCCCCUUAGGGGGGGAGGGAGAGAAUUCUAGUCGGUCGGCCGUCGCAUCUCUGGCCUUUGGUCUACCUGGAGGGCAAGAGGGGGGGAGGGCGUUGCGGUCUACCGCCUCACCCACCCUCUCACAGCCCCCUCUCUCUGUUUGCUGCCUUUGGGCACCACUGAUAUAGACUAUUGAUUAGACUGAUGUAACAACGAGAUAUCAUCUCUAACGUUAACAACUUUUAACAAUGGAUCUCUUGGCUCUU